RNAcentral lists this ribosomal RNA (119 nucleotides) under Helianthus annuus (common sunflower). The record is from RNAcentral. Lineage: Eukaryota; Viridiplantae; Streptophyta; Magnoliopsida; Asterales; Asteraceae.
GGUUGCGAUCAUACCAGCACUAAUGCAUCGGAUCCCAUCAGAACUCCGCAGUUAAGCGUGCUUGGGCGAGAGUAGUACUAGGAUAGGUGACCCCCUGGGAAGUCCUCGUGUUGCAACCC